AUACGGAGGAUCCGAGCGUUAUCCGGAUUUAUUGGGAUUAAAGGGUGCGCAGGCGGCCAUUUAAGUCAGCGGUUAAAUCGUGGGGCUCAACCCCAUUCUGCCGUUGAUACUGGGUGGCUUGAUUGCGGUCGAGGUUGGCGGAAUUCGUUGUGUAGCGGUGAAAUGCAUAGAUAUGACGAAGAACACCGAUUGCGUAGGCAGCUGACCAGACCGCAAAUGACGCUCAUGCACGAAAGUGCGGGGAUCGAACAGGAUUAGAUACCCUGGUAGUCCGCACAGUAAACGAUGAAUACUUGUUUUCGGCGAUAUAAUGUCGGAGGCAAAGCGAAAGCGAUAAGUAUUCCACCUGGGGAGUACGCCGGCAACGGUGAAACUCAAAGGAAUUGACGGGG
This 392-nucleotide ribosomal RNA is filed under the name uncultured bacterium. Its description in RNAcentral is "partial 16S ribosomal RNA". It matches the Rfam family "Bacterial small subunit ribosomal RNA", at positions 523 to 918 of the family's 1533-position model. The record is from RNAcentral.